Aquila chrysaetos chrysaetos is the source of this 1394-nucleotide long non-coding RNA. RefSeq lists it as uncharacterized. The transcript has 3 exons. The record is from RefSeq and is a predicted model, not a curated record. Lineage: Eukaryota; Metazoa; Chordata; Aves; Accipitriformes; Accipitridae.
UCCUGCCAGGGCUGACAGCUUCUUCCAGGGGAAGGUCCUUCACCAUCACCCAGUGAUGUACGCCGGGGUUCAAAGCUCCUCCAUCCCACACCCACACCAGCUGCAGGCACGCUGCGGGGGACCGCUGCCGUCCCCCGGGUAGGAAGGCAUCCCUCCCGGUGCUGGCACCGCUGCCUGGUCACCCCAGCUGGCAGGCCAGACUCGGGGACCACAGGGACGGCUGGCGCCUGCGCUCAGGAAGGCAGUGAGCUCACAGGUUUAAUUUUCUCAAGGCUUCGUUCGGCUCUGACAUGUGAUCCUCGUUACAGGAAGGACGCGGCAAACACGUCGUCCCCUGAGGCUUCCUGGCUCGACCUUGUGGGAAGAGGUCCAGGUCUUUGUGACUCCGUGGGCUCAGUCCCCCAGGCUCUGCUUGCUGAGCUCGGUUCUCCAGACUGGAUUUCCCAGGCUCCUUUCCUUGGGCUCAGUUCCCCGUGCUGACCUCUGUGAGCUCUCCAGGCUCGGUUCCUUGGGCCUGGCAUGCUGGACAUGGCUCUCCAAACUUGGGUCCAAGGGUAUGGCUCUCCAGGCUCGGCGAGGUCUCCAGUCACGGCUUGCUGGCGGUGGUUCUCCAGGCUUGGUUCUCCAGGUAUCACCUGCUGGAGGUGUCUCCCCAGGCUUGGUGUCUCUGUGGUGGUUCCCCAGCAGGCUCUCAGGGCUGGGCUCCCUGGCCAGCCCGGUGCCAGCAGAGGGCCUCCCUUACCCAACAGAGCACUGCGCUGCCACGAAAUUAUAAAACACAUUAUCUAUUUGGCAAAAGUUUAUGCAAGGACCAGGAAAUGGGCUGGAGUUCAUUCUCCUCCAGAAGACCGGAGACAACGUGUCGUGUCCCCCCCCCGCUUCUUUUUUUAAUGCCAGCACUCGAGAUGCAUUAAAGCCACGGGAGUGUUCAUCAUUAAAAUGGCAAUUGCGAAGCGAGGCAAUAAAUUUAACAUCAUAAAAGGCACUGGGAGGGUCCCGCUCAUCUGUUGCUCUUCAAAGAAAAGUGUUAGUUGCUUCUGAAAAAAAAAAUUGGGAAGAAACAGGUUGCUCCUGCAUCCCGUGGCUUCCCUCACCACCUUCUUCUAGCUCCUGCAGACUCCUUUUCCUCCCUCAUCGCCUGAUAACGGCCUUCAGAUCCAUGAGAAUAUGGGGCGAUGAUCCAUGCGUGGAGCCGUGCGAGCCCCUCGGGGCUGGGGCAGGGGGACGGAGGAGGGACAGAUGAACGGACACCACCGAGGUUGUGCAGUUGGCGAGGAGCAGAUCUGCCACUGCUUGGCGUGGUGCUCAGCCUGGCUGCCUGCUAGCCAUCCCUGCCAGCUUGAUCAAUGGAUGUGCUGCCACUUCUCAGUAAUAAAAUCCUUCCUCCACAUACA